GACGAACGCUGGCGGCGCGCUUAACACAUGCAAGUCGAGCGAUGAAAUUUCGACAGAUCCCUUCGGGGUGAAGAUGAAAUGGAUUAGCGGCGGACGGGUGAGUAACACGUGAGUAACCUGCCUUUGACAUUGGGAUAGCCUCGGGAAACUGGGAUUAAUACCAAAUGACACUAACUGAUCACAUGAUCAAUUAGUCAAAGAAAUUCGGUCAAAGAUGGACUCGCGGCUGAUUAGCUAGUUGGUGAGGUAACGGCCCACCAAGGCGACGAUCAGUAGCCGGCCUGAGAGGGUGACCGGCCCAAUGGGACUGGGGCCCCGGCCCAACUCCCUCCGGGAGCAGGAGGGGGGAAAAAUUCACAAUGGGGGAAACCCUGAUGCAGCGACGCCGCGUGAGCGAAGAAGGCCUUCGGGUCGUAAAGCUCUUUUAUGAGGGAAGAUAAUGACGGUACCUCAAGAAAAAGCCCCGGCUAACUACGU
Molecule: ribosomal RNA, 477 nt
Filed under: uncultured bacterium
Lineage: Bacteria
Description: partial 16S ribosomal RNA
Rfam family: Bacterial small subunit ribosomal RNA
Source: RNAcentral